UGGGGAAUUUUGGACAAUGGGGGAAACCCUGAUCCAGCCAUCCCGCGUGUGCGAUGAAGGCCUUCGGGUUGUAAAGCACUUUUGGCAGGAAAGAAACGUCGCGGGUUAAUACCCCGCGAAACUGACGGUACCUGCAGAAUAAGCACCGGCUAACUACGUGCCAGCAGCCGCGGUAAUACGUAGGGUGCAAGCGUUAAUCGGAAUUACUGGGCGUAAAGCGUGCGCAGGCGGUUCGGAAAGAAAGAUGUGAAAUCCCAGAGCUUAACUUUGGAACUGCAUUUUUAGCUACCGGGCUAGAGUGUGUCAGAGGGAGGUGGAAUUCCGCGUGUAGCAGUGAAAUGCGUAGAUAUGCGGAGGAACACCGAUGGCGAAGGCAGCCUCCUGGGAUAACACUGACGCUCAUGCACGAAAGCGUGGGGAGCAAACAGGAUUAGAUACCCUGGUAGUCCACGCCCUAAACGAUGUCAACUAGCUGUUGGGGCCUUCGGGCCUUGGUAGCGCAGCUAACGCGUGAAGUUGACCGCCUGGGGAGUACGGUCGCAAGAUUAAAACUUAAAGGAAUUGACGGGGGUGC
Molecule: ribosomal RNA, 574 nt
Filed under: uncultured bacterium
Lineage: Bacteria
Description: partial 16S ribosomal RNA
Rfam family: Bacterial small subunit ribosomal RNA
Source: RNAcentral